GGUGGUGUACGAAUAAGGGCUGGGCAAGACCGGUGCCAGCCGCCGCGGUAAUACCGGCAGCCCGAGUGAUGGCCGAUAUUAUUGGGCCUAAAGCGUCCGUAGCUGGCCGGACAAGUCCGUUGGGAAAUCUGUUCGCUUAACGAGCAGGCGUCCAGCGGAAACUGUUCGGCUUGGGACCGGAAGACCUGAGGGGUACGUCCGGGGUAGGAGUGAAAUCCUGUAAUCCUGGACGGACCACCGGUGGCGAAAGCGCCUCAGGAGGACGGAUCCGACAGUGAGGGACGAAAGCUAGGGUCUCGAACCGGAUUAGAUACCCGGGUAGUCCUAGCUGUAAACGAUGCCCGCUAGGUGUGGCGCAGGCUACGAGCCUGCGCUGUGCCGUAGGGAAGCCGAGAAGCGGGCCGCCUGGGAAGUACGUCUGCAAGGAUGAAACUUAAAGGAAUUGGCGGGGGAGCACUACAACCGGAGGAGCCUGCGGUUUAAUUGGACUCAACGCCGGACAUCUCACCAGCUCCGACAGUAGUAAUGACGGUCAGGUUGAUGACCUUACCCGAUGCUACUGAGAGGAGGUGCAUGGCCGCCGUCAGCUCGUACCGUGAGGCGUCCUGUUAAGUCAGGCAACGAGCGAGACCCGCACUCCUAAUUGCCAGCAGUACCCUUUGGGUAGCUGGGUACAUUAGGUGGACUGCCGCUGCUAAAGCGGAGGAAGGAACGGGCAACGGUAGGUCAGUAUGCCCCGAAUGAGCUGGGCAACACGCGGGCUACAAUGGUCGAGACAAUGGGAUGCAACUCCGAGAGGAGGCGCUAAUCUCCUAAACUCGAUCGUAGUUCGGAUUGAGGGCUGAAACUCGCCCUCAUGAAGCUGGAUUCGGUAGUAAUCGCGUGUCAGAAGCGCGCGGUGAAUACGUCCCUGCUCCUUGCACACACCGCCCGUCAAAGCACCCGAGUGG
This 950-nucleotide ribosomal RNA is filed under the name Halobacterium noricense. RNAcentral describes it as "bacterial SSU rRNA". It matches the Rfam family "Archaeal small subunit ribosomal RNA", at positions 423 to 1369 of the family's 1478-position model. Lineage: Archaea; Methanobacteriati; Methanobacteriota; Halobacteria; Halobacteriales; Halobacteriaceae. The record is from RNAcentral.